This 685-nucleotide long non-coding RNA is filed under the name Daucus carota (carrot). RNAcentral's name for it is "long non-coding RNA (DCAR_LNC007334)". Lineage: Eukaryota; Viridiplantae; Streptophyta; Magnoliopsida; Apiales; Apiaceae. The record is from RNAcentral.
AAUAAGUGGUAGAAUUAACUAGGUUGAGCUCAUUAGUACUCGAGUAAUUAAGUCUGAGGGGACUUUGUGCCUAACAACCUAAAGCCCUUCGUGGUUUGGGAUUGUUGACCCAACGCUCGCUACAUGGGUACUAGUGCAUAAAUCUUUAGGGAUCUCAACCAUUGCACAGUUAAAUAAACCACUAGAAUAGAGUGAAUGAUUGGUGUGUGAAGUCUUGUGGUGUUCGUAACGCAUUUACACUGCGAAGCGCUCUGACCUUAGACCGAGCAAUUAAUCACCAUUAAAAAGGAAAAAAUAAAAAGAAAAAAAUAUAUAGUGAAUAAAAUAGAAGGGUGUGGACAUUCUUUGGGACCUUGGCUUUUAGUUGGACUUGAGUGACGGGGUGUUAGUUUUAUACUUUUACGAUUCUUGAUUGGGAUUCUGUGGGAGUAGUAGUUUUUGUCUUGUCUCAAUAUAAGAGCAUGCUUGCACACAUUGGCACUCCACACUUGUAAAUGGAAGAGUAAUUGACUUGGUAGCGAGAGAAGUGAAAUUCGAGAACAUUAGCACAAUCUGAGGUAUUAUAAUUGGCAAGGCAAUUACUUCAUAGUUUACUCAUUCAUCACGUAGUUGCAUUCAUGCAUUGCAUUGUAUUAUUGUAUAGUGUCGUUGACGCUUGAGGACAAGCAUCAGUUUAAGUUUGAGG